GUACCGGCACUAGCACAUCCUGAUUCCACUUCCGAAAGUGAAUUUCCGUCCCCAUUAUGGAGCCGUGCUAUCGUCGCCUCGAGAUCCUUGCGUUGUCGUCCAUCCCGUCGUCGUCUCGCCGCUAGCUAACAGAUGGAAAACUCUCGGUGCCUUCAGCAUUGUCAGCUUCGAGAUCUUUUGCGUUUCUUUACCUUUUCUUCUUUUUUCCUUCAGUUGCGUUUCUUGAGGCGGACCAUACAUUGGUCUCAAAAUAGACGGAAAUAAGCUCGUCAAGUUCGGCCCUGUGCUUCCGAAGCACGUCGCAUGGCCCGGUUGGCGUACUCGCGCUCGGCGUCACCAGUCGGAUCAAUAACGCCCGUCAGGUUCAGCUGAAUGUCUGGGGACACAUGGAGGGAGGCGAGUACGAGGGUCUGUAACACACGUGCAAAAAAUCGGCCCAAAAUAAAGACUGGAAAAACAACAAAAUCAGAGGAAUAUACUACUAUAUAAUUAUAAGAGGACAAAGCACAGGAUAAGGAUAUAUAUAUGUGUGUGUGUGGAACUUUGUGAAAAAUGUGGCGUAACAAAUAUAUAUCGACAUAAGUGAAAAUCGUAAUGUGAUGAAUAAAUUUAAACGACACUGUUAGACUUAGGCCCACGUUUUUUUUUUU
This 650-nucleotide long non-coding RNA is filed under the name Harpegnathos saltator (Jerdon's jumping ant). RNAcentral's name for it is "uncharacterized LOC105184801, transcript variant X4". The record is from RNAcentral. Lineage: Eukaryota; Metazoa; Arthropoda; Insecta; Hymenoptera; Formicidae.